UGGGGAAUAUUGCACAAUGGGCGCAAGCCUGAUGCAGCCAUGCCGCGUGUAUGAAGAAGGCCUUCGGGUUGUAAAGUACUUUCAGUCGGGAGGAAGGUGGUAAGGUUAAUAACCUUAUCAAUUGACGUUACCGACCGAAGAAGCACCGGCUAACUCCGUGCCAGCAGCCGCGGUAAUACGUAGGUGGCAAGCGUUGUCCGGAUUUAUUGGGCGUAAAGCGAGCGCAGGCGGUUUCUUAAGUCUGAUGUGAAAGCCCCCGGCUCAACCGGGGGGGGUCAUUGGAAACUGGGGGACUUGAGUGCAGAAGAGGGGAGUGGAAUUCCCUGUGUAGCGGUGAGAUGCGUAGAUAUAUGGGGGAACACAAGUGGCGAAGGCGGCUCUCUGGUCUGUAGCUGACGCUGAGGCUCGAAAGCGUGGGGAGCAAACAAG
RNAcentral lists this ribosomal RNA (429 nucleotides) under Chloroflexota bacterium. RNAcentral's name for it is "Chloroflexi bacterium partial 16S ribosomal RNA". It matches the Rfam family "Bacterial small subunit ribosomal RNA", at positions 355 to 776 of the family's 1533-position model. Lineage: Bacteria; Bacillati; Chloroflexota. The record is from RNAcentral.